Long non-coding RNA from Kogia breviceps (pygmy sperm whale), 2305 nucleotides. RefSeq lists it as uncharacterized. The record is from RefSeq and is a predicted model, not a curated record. Lineage: Eukaryota; Metazoa; Chordata; Mammalia; Artiodactyla; Physeteridae.
AUCCAGUUACCUCACAAUCACAAGUCGUACUGCAGUGACUGCAAGUCCUGUGUGUCUCAUUCAACAGGUGUCACAGAACAAAGAAGGAGGUGGGUGCUGGUAGACCUGAGGGGACCAAGGACUCAAACUGAAGGUUAAAUGCUGUAAGAUGGGAGCAGAGAUUUAUAUGCCUGGCAGACGAAAAGGGAUAAUAUCUACAGGGAAAAGCUGGAGGCAGUUCUCCCUGGGAGCCAGGUCAGAGUUCCUGCUAAAGUGACUUUGGCCUCUGUAGCUCUGGUGGCCUUGAACUAUACAGCACACUUCCAUACACAACCUCUGUUUAUCCAAAGCAGUCCUGAUUCUUGAUCAAGAAAAAUACCCAGGUUCUUGGGCUUCACCGUUCUCUUCUGCCUUCUCUUCCUCCACCUUUCCAGGGAAGGAAGAGUGUUCCAAGAAGAUGGAACAGCACAUGUGAGGACCAUGAAGAAAGGGAGGCUGGCCUUCUAACAGUAAUGAUCUGGAAACAACCAUGGCAAUUACCCCGGAGGCAGAUGUUUGUGUGUAUGGAGUCCGAGGAUGCUGAGUCAUCAGAGUUACACCAAGCAAAUGAGCAGUUCUCUGGAGAAGGACAGACAUUCACCGUUAGCCCGAGGCUGGUGAGUUCAGCACCAGGUGAAGGCUGCUUAUUGCUACGAAUGCCUGGCCUGAACCUUCGUCAAUGGCCUGAACCUUCCCUUGGCUGUUGAACCAUAUUCACACUCUUUCUUGAUCACACCCUGGAAUAGUGAUGUGAAGUGUAAACAGCAGGUGUCCAAUAAAUUUGUGUUCAUAAACUGGCUGAGACCUGACCCCUGGAUUACUAACACCCCCGACAGAGAAAGUAGGGAAAGAUCCAAGUCCUCACACAGAUAACUCUAGCUUCAGCUGAGAAUUUAUGAACUUGAAAAGAGAAAACAUAAAUUCAUUAUUUAGAUCAUAAAGGAAGGACUUCAAGUUGAGUCCAACCCAUGAUGUGGAACUUCCAUUAACCGGAGUGUGCACCCUGGGGUCUCUCACCCCCAACCAAGGACAGAAAAUAUUGUGCACCUGGACACUGCAGAAAUAGAGGCAGAUAUCAGGGCCCAAGAAAAAUGUGGGGAAAGACUUCCAGAAUAAGCAGAUUAAGACAGUCAAAUUAUAAAACAGCUGUGUGUAGUAAUACCCCAAAAAGGACUGAAAAGUGAAAAGAAAGAAACGUGAGGGUGGAAUAGACAGCAUCUCAUGUGUCUCUGAAAGCGUCUCUUCCAGCCCCAUUAAUUCCACCACUUCCUCACUUGUCUCUGCUUCCUGCCUUCCCGCUUCCAUCCACUCCCCUCCACACUGGCCAGUGACUCUCCUCCUGUCCUCUCUCCUCUUAAGGCCUUCAGUGUAAAAGCCCACAUCCUUCACAGGACACUCAGAAGCUUCCCAAACUAGCCCCGGCCUCUCUCCAGCCACAUCUGUCACUCCGCCUCCCUCCCUCUAUUCUUUGUUCAUGCAACUAUUGCACGUUCCUUUAACUGCUCCCUGCUCUUCUGGCUUCCAGGCCUGAAAUACCCUCAGCAAACCUUUCAGGAGCUCACCAACCCUGCCAGGUCCAUUCAAAUCUGGGUCCCGUCUCCUCAGGCUGAGUCCAUCCAUCCUUCCUUGACGCUUCCCCAAUAAUUCCCACUCUCCAUGUGCCACUGCACUCUAAUUACUUAUCUAGUUUAUUCGUACUUUAAUUUUCUCUAGAGUAUGAACUCCUCAAAGCCACAGGCAGAGGUUUAUUCUUUUCUUUAAGUUCUCGGUGCCUCAUUUGGUACCUGUUACUUAAUAGGUCCUCAAUACAUGGAGUUGGACAAAUGAAUUAAGUAAUCAGUUAAGCCACUUAGAUCUCUAGGCCUGAUGUCCAGCUUGCACUCAGGUAAUUCUCUCAUGCAUUCUCUACGUGCUGCUGCUCUGAGAAUCUGUGCUCAUUGCUAUGUCCAACUCACACCACUGCCUCACAGUUCCAUGUAUUCCAUAUAUUCACGGUGACUUCUGUGCAUAAUCUGUACUCAUGUUGUAGGAAGUAAGCUUCCCAAAGCACCAAGCAGUGAAUAUGGGAUGGCUAAUAAAUACUAUUUAAUUAUGUCAGCAAUUUGUCCUAUUUUCCUGCCAUUCAGUUCUGUGCUUUGAAAAAAGAGGGACUCACACACAGGGUCCAAGGCUGGUCUGAAUUCCAGGGAAAUCCACUUGUUAGUGGGGUCGGGACCUGCAUGCACUUGCUGCCUUCCUUCGGUUAUUCUCCAUCUGCUGCCAGAUCAUGGCCCCCAGAUACACAAGG